CAAUAGCGUAUAUUAAAGUUGUUGCGGUUAAAAAGCUCGUAGUUGGAUUUCUGCUGAGAACGACCGGUCCGCCCUUUGGGUGUGUAUCUGGCUCUUUCUUGGCAUCUUCUUGGUGAACGUUGCUGCACUUGACUGUGUGGAGCGCUACCCAGGACUUUUACUUUGAGGAAAUUAGAGUGUUUCAAGCAGGCAUACGCCUUGAAUACAUUAGCAUGGAAUAAUAAGAUAGGACCUCGGUUCUAUUUUGUUGGUUUCUAGAGCUGAGGUAAUGAUUAAUAGGGACUGUCGGGGGCAUUGGUAUUUGACUGUCAGAGGUGAAAUUCUUAGAUUCGUUGAGGACCAACCACUGCGAAAGCAUUUGUCAAGGAUGUCUCCAUUA
This 379-nucleotide ribosomal RNA is filed under the name uncultured eukaryote. RNAcentral describes it as "partial 18S ribosomal RNA". It matches the Rfam family "Eukaryotic small subunit ribosomal RNA", at positions 592 to 975 of the family's 1831-position model. The record is from RNAcentral.